UAAUUUCCUAUUUUAUUUUUAUCUAUAUCUCCCUUCUUUAGAAAUGGGACUUGGUAUGUACAAACGUGGCAAUAACAUGUUGUACAAUUAGCUAUGUGAAGUGUCUACAAACUUGGCUUUAUUUUAUUGGACGUUAUUUUUUUGUUAUUUUCCUCUUGACACGCAUAUUUACACUCAAAACAACUCACCAGCUAACAUGGCAAACCAGAAACGGAGGAAGCCGCCGUUGCAUAUAAGAUGACCGAGAUACGAAAUAGGGAACUCGCUCGCUUCGGAAUCCUUCCCUUCUUUAAAAAUGGGACUUGAUAUGUACGAACAUGGCAAUAACAUGUUGUACAAUUAGCUAUGUGAAUUGUCUAUAAACUUGGCUUUAUUUUAUUGGACGUCAUUUUUUUGAUAUUUUCCUCUUGACACGCGUAUUUGCACUCAAAACAACUCACCAGCUAACAUGGAUCUUUGAAGUUCACUUACUUUUUCACUGACUCUUCCAAAUUAAAGUUUGUUAAUUGUAUUUGCUGGUAAACCGUGCAAGCUGACUUUCCUUCUUGGAUUAUAAGGUUUGAAUAACCCACGUUGUGAGAGAAGUUGAAAAACAUGUAUCAAGUAAAUUCACCCUUUAUUUAUAACAUUUCAGUUCUGUAUUCACACUUUCGACAUACAUUUAUCAUUUAGACUCGGGGUUGCUAGAGUUUUCCUACUACCUUUCACUCCAUAUGACAGCCUAUUUUCAACUGGCUGGAUGAAUCAGCCCAAGCCCAACAAGGAUAUCUACAAUAGAUAUUGGGCCAGUAGGCCCAAUAAGAGCAAUAAGGUCAACCCUUCCUAAAGGAUAAUUUUGGAUCGGUGCCAUUUUUCAUCGUUACAUAUAAAAAGACAUCACGAUUAAAGGUUAUCAUGAAUUAUAUGCAAAGGCAUUUAUGUGUUUUUCAUCCCCAUUGAGUAUAAGUUUCUCAUUUCCCUUCUACAGUCUAUCAAUCACUAGUUCUUUCUUACGUCUACAAUUUUGUUUGGGCUUUUGUUAUUUGAGUUGUUGUUUUAGUUUCUGGAUUUGUAAUUAAACUCUAAUCUUAUUAUUAUAGUUGAACGGUUGGUUACCGUUACAUUAGAUUUGAGUUCA
This is a long non-coding RNA of Solanum lycopersicum (tomato), 1117 nucleotides long. RefSeq lists it as uncharacterized. NCBI's taxonomy places the organism in Eukaryota, Viridiplantae, Streptophyta, Magnoliopsida, Solanales, Solanaceae. The record is from RefSeq and is a predicted model, not a curated record.